GGGUUGUGAGGUUAAGCGACUAAGCGUACACGGUGGAUGCCCUGGCAGUCAGAGGCGAUGAAGGACGUGCUAAUCUGCGAUAAGCGUCGGUAAGGUGAGAUGAACCGUUAUAACCGGCGAUUUCCGAAUGGGGAAACCCAGUGUGUUUCGACACACUAUCAUUAACUGAAUCCAUAGGUUAAUGAGGCGAACCGGGGGAACUGAAACAUCUAAGUACCCCGAGGAAAAGAAAUCAACCGAGAUUCCCCCAGUAGCGGCGAGCGAACGGGGAGCAGCCCAGAGCCUGAAUCAGUGUGUGUGUUAGUGGAAGCGUCUGGAAAGGCGCGCGAUACAGGGUGACAGCCCCGUACACAAAAAUGCACAUGCUGUGAGCUCGAUGAGUAGGGCGGGACACGUGGUAUCCUGUCUGAAUAUGGGGGGACCAUCCUCCAAGGCUAAAUACUCCUGACUGACCGAUAGUGAACCAGUACCGUGAGGGAAAGGCGAAAAGAACCCCGGCGAGGGGAGUGAAAAAGAACCUGAAACCGUGUACGUACAAGCAGUGGGAGCACGCUUAGGCGUGUGACUGCGUACCUUUUGUAUAAUGGGUCAGCGACUUAUAUUCUGUAGCAAGGUUAACCGAAUAGGGGAGCCGAAGGGAAACCGAGUCUUAACUGGGCGUUAAGUUGCAGGGUAUAGACCCGAAACCCGGUGAUCUAGCCAUGGGCAGGUUGAAGGUUGGGUAACACUAACUGGAGGACCGAACCGACUAAUGUUGAAAAAUUAGCGGAUGACUUGUGGCUGGGGGUGAAAGGCCAAUCAAACCGGGAGAUAGCUGGUUCUCCCCGAAAGCUAUUUAGGUAGCGCCUCGUGAAUUCAUCUCCGGGGGUAGAGCACUGUUUCGGCAAGGGGGUCAUCCCGACUUACCAACCCGAUGCAAACUGCGAAUACCGGAGAAUGUUAUCACGGGAGACACACGGCGGGUGCUAACGUCCGUCGUGAAGAGGGAAACAACCCAGACCGCCAGCUAAGGUCCCAAAGUCAUGGUUAAGUGGGAAACGAUGUGGGAAGGCCCAGACAGCCAGGAUGUUGGCUUAGAAGCAGCCAUCAUUUAAAGAAAGCGUAAUAGCUCACUGGUCGAGUCGGCCUGCGCGGAAGAUGUAACGGGGCUAAACCAUGCACCGAAGCUGCGGCAGCGACGCUUAUGCGUUGUUGGGUAGGGGAGCGUUCUGUAAGCCUGUGAAGGUGUGCUGUGAGGCAUGCUGGAGGUAUCAGAAGUGCGAAUGCUGACAUAAGUAACGAUAAAGCGGGUGAAAAGCCCGCUCGCCGGAAGACCAAGGGUUCCUGUCCAACGUUAAUCGGGGCAGGGUGAGUCGACCCCUAAGGCGAGGCCGAAAGGCGUAGUCGAUGGGAAACAGGUUAAUAUUCCUGUACUUGGUGUUACUGCGAAGGGGGGACGGAGAAGGCUAUGUUGGCCGGGCGACGGUUGUCCCGGUUUAAGCGUGUAGGCUGGUUUUCCAGGCAAAUCCGGAAAAUCAAGGCUGAGGCGUGAUGACGAGGCACUACGGUGCUGAAGCAACAAAUGCCCUGCUUCCAGGAAAAGCCUCUAAGCAUCAGGUAACAUCAAAUCGUACCCCAAACCGACACAGGUGGUCAGGUAGAGAAUACCAAGGCGCUUGAGAGAACUCGGGUGAAGGAACUAGGCAAAAUGGUGCCGUAACUUCGGGAGAAGGCACGCUGAUAUGUAGGUGAAGUCCCUUGCGGAUGGAGCUGAAAUCAGUCGAAGAUACCAGCUGGCUGCAACUGUUUAUUAAAAACACAGCACUGUGCAAACACGAAAGUGGACGUAUACGGUGUGACGCCUGCCCGGUGCCGGAAGGUUAAUUGAUGGGGUCAGCGCAAGCGAAGCUCUUGAUCGAAGCCCCGGUAAACGGCGGCCGUAACUAUAACGGUCCUAAGGUAGCGAAAUUCCUUGUCGGGUAAGUUCCGACCUGCACGAAUGGCGUAAUGAUGGCCAGGCUGUCUCCACCCGAGACUCAGUGAAAUUGAACUCGCUGUGAAGAUGCAGUGUACCCGCGGCAAGACGGAAAGACCCCGUGAACCUUUACUAUAGCUUGACACUGAACAUUGAGCCUUGAUGUGUAGGAUAGGUGGGAGGCUUGGAAGUGUGGACGCCAGUCUGCAUGGAGCCGACCUUGAAAUACCACCCUUUAAUGUUUGAUGUUCUAACGUUGACCCGUAAUCCGGGUUGCGGACAGUGUCUGGUGGGUAGUUUGACUGGGGCGGUCUCCUCCUAAAGAGUAACGGAGGAGCACGAAGGUUGGCUAAUCCUGGUCGGACAUCAGGAGGUUAGUGCAAUGGCAUAAGCCAGCUUGACUGCGAGCGUGACGGCGCGAGCAGGUGCGAAAGCAGGUCAUAGUGAUCCGGUGGUUCUGAAUGGAAGGGCCAUCGCUCAACGGAUAAAAGGUACUCCGGGGAUAACAGGCUGAUACCGCCCAAGAGUUCAUAUCGACGGCGGUGUUUGGCACCUCGAUGUCGGCUCAUCACAUCCUGGGGCUGAAGUAGGUCCCAAGGGUAUGGCUGUUCGCCAUUUAAAGUGGUACGCGAGCUGGGUUUAGAACGUCGUGAGACAGUUCGGUCCCUAUCUGCCGUGGGCGCUGGAGAACUGAGGGGGGCUGCUCCUAGUACGAGAGGACCGGAGUGGACGCAUCACUGGUGUUCGGGUUGUCAUGCCAAUGGCACUGCCCGGUAGCUAAAUGCGGAAGAGAUAAGUGCUGAAAGCAUCUAAGCACGAAACUUGCCCCGAGAUGAGUUCUCCCUGACUCCUUGAGAGUCCUGAAGGAACGUUGAAGACGACGACGUUGAUAGGCCGGGUGUGUAAGCGCAGCGAUGCGUUGAGCUAACCGGUACUAAUGAACCGUGAGGCUUAACCUUACAACGCCGAAGGUGUUU
RNAcentral lists this ribosomal RNA (2931 nucleotides) under Escherichia coli. RNAcentral describes it as "bacterial LSU rRNA". It matches the Rfam family "Bacterial large subunit ribosomal RNA". Lineage: Bacteria; Pseudomonadati; Pseudomonadota; Gammaproteobacteria; Enterobacterales; Enterobacteriaceae. The record is from RNAcentral.